This 509-nucleotide ribosomal RNA is filed under the name uncultured bacterium. RNAcentral's name for it is "bacterial SSU rRNA". It matches the Rfam family "Bacterial small subunit ribosomal RNA", at positions 1 to 503 of the family's 1533-position model. The record is from RNAcentral.
CCCUUAGAGUUUGAUCCUGGCUCAGAUUGAACGCUGGCGGCAUGCUUUACACAUGCAAGUCGAACGGCAGCGCGGGGAGCUUGCUCCCUGGCGGCGAGUGGCGCACGGGUGAGUAAUACAUCGGAACGUGUCUUCUAGUGGGGGAUAACUGCCCGAAAGGGCAGCUAAUACCGCAUGAGACCUGAGGGUGAAAGCGGGGGAUCGCAAGACCUCGCGCUGGAAGAGCGGCCGAUGUCCGAUUAGCUAGUUGGUGAGGUAAAGGCUCACCAAGGCGACGAUCGGUAGCUGGUCUGAGAGGACGACCAGCCACACUGGGACUGAGACACGGCCCAGACUCCUACGGGAGGCAGCAGUGGGGAAUUUUGGACAAUGGGGGCAACCCUGAUCCAGCCAUGCCGCGUGCAGGAUGAAGGUCUUCGGAUUGUAAACUGCUUUUGUCAGGGACGAAAAGGGAUGCGAUAACACCGCAUUCCGCUGACGGUACCUGAAGAAUAAGCACCGGCUACUCU